This 282-nucleotide ribosomal RNA is filed under the name Leopardus jacobita (Andean mountain cat). Its description in RNAcentral is "partial 16S ribosomal RNA". It matches the Rfam family "Bacterial large subunit ribosomal RNA", at positions 2057 to 2514 of the family's 2925-position model. The record is from RNAcentral. Lineage: Eukaryota; Metazoa; Chordata; Mammalia; Carnivora; Felidae.
AGAGGCGGGAAUAUAACAACAAGACGAGAAGACCCUAUGGAGCUUUAAUUAAUCGACCCAAAGAGAUCCCACUAACUAACCGACAGGAACAACAAACCUCUAUAUGGGCCGACAAUUUAGGUUGGGGUGACCUCGGAGAAUAAAACAACCUCCGAGUGAUUUAAAUCUAGACUAACCAGUCAAAAGUAUUACAUCACUUAUUGAUCCAAAAACUUGAUCAACGGAACAAGUUACCCUAGGGAUAACAGCGCAAUCCUAUUUUAGAGUCCAUAUCGACAAUAG